This 888-nucleotide long non-coding RNA is filed under the name Triticum aestivum (bread wheat). Its description in RNAcentral is "long non-coding RNA (TAES_LNC010724)". Lineage: Eukaryota; Viridiplantae; Streptophyta; Magnoliopsida; Poales; Poaceae. The record is from RNAcentral.
AGAAACCAAUAGAGAAAAUUAAUUUGCUAGAUUUGAAAAGCAGAACCCGGUAUUUAGUGUUUGGUGAAUUGAUAGCAUCAUCACAAACACCAUACAGAUAGAGGCUUUUUGUCUAAUUAGUUAAUUAACAACAUAAAUGAACAUAUCUACUAGGUGAAGUAUGUGUCCAUCACCCCUCUAUCUAAUACUCAUCGUAAGCACCAAAAUAAAUUAUCUUAGUUUUAUACAGAAAUCCCAACUGAUGAAGCUAGCAUAACUUCCAAAAGUCGUUCUUGACAGGAGUCCCGUACUACUAACCUGAAAAAAGAAAAUGUAAAAAAGAUUACUAAAAUUCAGAAACAAACAAUUAACCAAAAGAGAAGUUUUCUCCAACGAGAUAUUUUUUCUAAUUACCAACAAAGAAUUAAUUAUGUCCUUGUUAAGCCCAACUGGUGAAGCGAGGAUAAAUUCCAAAAGCCAGUCUUGGCAGGAACUCCUAAACCACUAACCUGAAAAAGCAUAUCCAUAUAGAGAUGAGAACCGAAAAACCCUUAGCCAAAAUCAGUAGCAAAAUUGUACAAGUACCUCUUUUCUAACAUAAUAACACAACGAUCACCUUUUGUAAUUGAUAAAUAACACAUGCAAGAUUUCACAUUUGGAAAGGACCAUUGGCUCUAACACAGGUUGAUUUUGUGCAUCUUAGUGUUCCUAUAAUAGAUGAAGAAGGUCAAAUGUUGAUCAAUUUGUUCUAUCGCUACAAAAAGGAAUGUGGUUCUUCUAUGAUACUCAAAAACUCAAGACUUCAGUUGUGCCUAUCCAUAAAUAAUAAGUCGUAGGCCAUAAAUAAAUGGAAUGUAGUGCUUAUCAUGUGAAAUGGCAAGUGGAAGUUAUUUAUAUUGAAAGCCGGGA